Molecule: ribosomal RNA, 253 nt
Filed under: uncultured bacterium
Lineage: Bacteria
Description: partial 16S ribosomal RNA
Rfam family: Bacterial small subunit ribosomal RNA
Source: RNAcentral
UUCGUAGGUGGCAAGCGUUAUCCGGAAUUAUUGGGCGUAAAGCGCGCGCAGGCGGUCCUUUAAGUCUGAUGUGAAAGCCCACGGCUCAACCGUGGAGGGUCAUUGGAAACUGGGGGACUUGAGUGCAGAAGAGGAGAGCGGAAUUCCACGUGUAGCGGUGAAAUGCGUAGAGAUGUGGAGGAACACCAGUGGCGAAGGCGGCUCUCUGGUCUGUAACUGACGCUGAGGCGCGAAAGCGUGGGGAGCGAACAGG